Molecule: small nuclear RNA, 112 nt
Filed under: Chlorocebus sabaeus (green monkey)
Lineage: Eukaryota; Metazoa; Chordata; Mammalia; Primates; Cercopithecidae
Description: U2 spliceosomal RNA
Rfam family: U2 spliceosomal RNA
About the family: U2 is a small nuclear RNA (snRNA) component of the spliceosome (involved in pre-mRNA splicing). Complementary binding between U2 snRNA (in an area lying towards the 5' end but 3' to hairpin I) and the branchpoint sequence (BPS) of the intron results the bulging out of an unpaired adenosine, on the BPS, which initiates a nucleophilic attack at the intronic 5' splice site, thus starting the first of two transesterification reactions that mediate splicing.
Source: Rfam by way of RNAcentral
AUCAUUUUUUGGCCUUUUGGCUAAGAUCAAGUGUGAUAUUCUUAUUAGUUUAAUAUCUGAUACAUUAAAAAAUUUGAUAUUAAAAACAAUUCCUCUCUGUGCUUCAACUACA